GAAACAGAAGCUGCAAUUGCGCGCAUUGUAACUUUGCCAGUGAUUCCGAGAAGGUGCGUUUUUCCGGCGCGGCGACGGGUGUAGAAAUACCGGCCGUCUCGGCUUCCCGAGAGAGGAUCUAUGAUCCUCUCCGGCGGAACGGUGAAGGUGCCGCAGAUGCAAGCUGUGGAUAGAAAGCGUUCGGUGGUCGCGUCAGCCGCACUCGACGCCUUUUAGAAGAUUCGUCGGAAAAAAAAUGUCGUGACCGUGUCAUUUUGUACAUUGGGAUUUGAAACGUCCCGAACAAAAAAAGGCACUCAAUUUUUCAUUUUUCUAGCCUGUCUGCCAACUCCUCUCACUAUGGCUGGCUUGACUUAGCUCACUUUCUUGCCAGGCUCUUGCCAGGCUAUGGCUGGCUUGACUUAUAAAAGCUCACUUUCUUGCCAGUACAUCUCAAAAGCUUGAUAUAGUUCAAUCCUUCUCACUGGCUCCGUGAGCGCUUUCCCGUUUGGGUCUCAAAUAUUUUUCUUCCGCUCAACUUUGAGCUGUCGAUUCGAUUUUAACAAACAGUUGUGUUUAUUAGAAUCGCAAGUCUAC
This is a long non-coding RNA of Anopheles cruzii, 576 nucleotides long. RefSeq lists it as uncharacterized. NCBI's taxonomy places the organism in Eukaryota, Metazoa, Arthropoda, Insecta, Diptera, Culicidae. The transcript is spliced from 3 exons. The record is from RefSeq and is a predicted model, not a curated record.